RNAcentral lists this ribosomal RNA (468 nucleotides) under uncultured bacterium. RNAcentral describes it as "partial 16S ribosomal RNA". It matches the Rfam family "Bacterial small subunit ribosomal RNA", at positions 28 to 507 of the family's 1533-position model. The record is from RNAcentral.
GACGAACGCUGGCGGCGUGCUUAACACAUGCAAGUCGAACGGAAAGGCCCUGCUUUUGUGGGGUGCUCGAGUGGCGAACGGGUGAGUAACACGUGAGUAACCUGCCCUUGACUUUGGGAUAACUUCAGGAAACUGGUGCUAAUACCGGAUAGGAGCUCCUGCUGCAUGGUGGGGGUUGGAAAGUUUCGGCGGUUGGGGAUGGACUCGCGGCUUAUCAGCUUGUUGGUGGGGUAGUGGCUUACCAAGGCUUUGACGGCUAGCCGACCUGAGAGGGGGACCGGCCACAUGGGGACUGAGAGACGGCGCAGACUCGUACGGGAGGCAGCAGUGGGGAAUAUUGCACAAUGGGCGGAAGCCUGAUGCAGCAACGCCGCGUGCGGGAUGACGGCCUUCGGGUUGUAAACCGCUUUCGCCUGUGACGAAGCGUGAGUGACGGUAAUGGGUAAAGAAGCACCGGCUAACUACGUG